CGAGCUUCCGUUGAAUGACGUGCUUGCACUGAUUUCAACAAUGAAGCGAGUGGCGAACUGGUGAGUAACACGUGGGGAAUCUGCCCAGAAGCAGGGGAUAACACUUGGAAACAGGUGCUAAUACCGUAUAACAACAAAAUCCGCAUGGAUUUUGUUUGAAAGGUGGCUUCGGCUAUCACUUCUGGAUGAUCCCGCGGCGUAUUAGUUAGUUGGUGAGGUAAAGGCCCACCAAGACGAUGAUACGUAGCCGACCUGAGAGGGUAAUCGGCCACAUUGGGACUGAGACACGGCCCAAACUCCUACGGGAGGCAGCAGUAGGGAAUCUUCCACAAUGGACGAAAGUCUGAUGGAGCAAUGCCGCGUGAGUGAAGAAGGGUUUCGGCUCGUAAAACUCUGUUGUUAAAGAAGAACACCUUUGAGAGUAACUGUUCAAGGGUUGACGGUAUUUAACCAGAAAGCCACGGCUAACUACGUGCCAGCAGCCGCGGUAAUACGUAGGUGGCAAGCGUUGUCCGGAUUUAUUGGGCGUAAAGCGAGCGCAGGCGGUUUUUUAAGUCUGAUGUGAAAGCCUUCGGCUUAACCGGAGAAGUGCAUCGGAAACUGGGAGACUUGAGUGCAGAAGAGGACAGUGGAACUCCAUGUGUAGCGGUGGAAUGCGUAGAUAUAUGGAAGAACACCAGUGGCGAAGGCGGCUGUCUAGUCUGUAACUGACGCUGAGGCUCGAAAGCAUG
This 731-nucleotide ribosomal RNA is filed under the name Levilactobacillus brevis. Its description in RNAcentral is "bacterial SSU rRNA". It matches the Rfam family "Bacterial small subunit ribosomal RNA", at positions 43 to 763 of the family's 1533-position model. Lineage: Bacteria; Bacillati; Bacillota; Bacilli; Lactobacillales; Lactobacillaceae. The record is from RNAcentral.